UUAUUUGAGAGUUUGAUCCUGGCUCAGGAUGAACGCUGGCGGCGUGCCUAACACAUGCAAGUUGAGCGAUUUACUUCGGUAAAGAGCGGCGGACGGGUGAGUAACGCGUGGGUAACCUACCCUGUACACACGGAUAACAUACCGAAAGGUAUGCUAAUACGGGAUAAUAUAUUUGAGAGGCAUCUCUUAAAUAUCAAAGGUGAGCCGGUACAGGAUGGACCCGCGUCUGAUUAGCUAGUUGGUAAGGUAACGGCUUACCAAGGCGACGAUCAGUAGCCGACCUGAGAGGGUGAUCGGCCACAUUGGAACUGAGACACGGUCCAAACUCC
RNAcentral lists this ribosomal RNA (329 nucleotides) under Clostridioides difficile. Its description in RNAcentral is "bacterial SSU rRNA". It matches the Rfam family "Bacterial small subunit ribosomal RNA", at positions 1 to 339 of the family's 1533-position model. The record is from RNAcentral. Lineage: Bacteria; Bacillati; Bacillota; Clostridia; Peptostreptococcales; Peptostreptococcaceae.